RNAcentral lists this ribosomal RNA (244 nucleotides) under uncultured bacterium. Its description in RNAcentral is "partial 16S ribosomal RNA". It matches the Rfam family "Bacterial small subunit ribosomal RNA", at positions 29 to 266 of the family's 1533-position model. The record is from RNAcentral.
AACGAACGCUGGCGGCGUGGAUAAGACAUGCAAGUCGAACGGGAGUUUAUUUAUAGCAAUAUGAGUGAACUCUAGUGGCGAAAGGGUGCGUAACACGUAGCUACCUACCUCGAAGUUGGGGAUAGCUCGGCGAAAGCCGGAUUAAUACCGAAUGUGACCGGAAGGUCAAAGUUGGGGAUCGUAAGACCUGACGCUUUGAGAUGGGGCUGCGGCCUAUCAGGUAGUUGGCGGGGUAAGUAGGCCC